This 253-nucleotide ribosomal RNA is filed under the name uncultured bacterium. Its description in RNAcentral is "partial 16S ribosomal RNA". It matches the Rfam family "Bacterial small subunit ribosomal RNA", at positions 524 to 776 of the family's 1533-position model. The record is from RNAcentral.
UACAGAGGUCUCAACCGUUGUUCGGAUUCAUUGGGCGUAAAGGGUGCGUAGGCGGUCGCGUAAGUCAGGUGUGAAAUCCCGGGGCUCAACCCCGGAACUGCAUUUGAUACUGCGUGGCUCGGGUACUGGAGAGGAGACUGGAAUUUACGGUGUAGCAGUGAAAUGCGUAGAUAUCGUAAGGAAGACCAGUGGCGAAGGCGGCUCUCUGGACCGAGACUGACGCUGAGGCGCGAAAGCGUGGGGAGCAAACAGG